This 1496-nucleotide long non-coding RNA is filed under the name Ursus maritimus (polar bear). Its description in RNAcentral is "lncRNA (ENSUMAG00000012120.1)". Lineage: Eukaryota; Metazoa; Chordata; Mammalia; Carnivora; Ursidae. The record is from RNAcentral.
CCCCCAGCGAAGAGCCCGAGUUGGAAAGAUUUGUGGAAACGCCGAGGGUCCGGCGGAGGCGCUUACCGGAGGAGGGCCGGCAGGGACGGUCGCGGCGGCUGUCGUUAACCGGAAGGGAGCGCGCUUUACGGCUCCGCGUGAGAUCUACUUCCGCCCCUGGGAGCGCGAUUCGCCUCCCGCGGGGUUUGGGGGGUAAAAGGGGCGGGACUUGAGGAAGAGGAGCGGGAAGCGGGUUUCCUCUCGCGGGAAGAGAAGAAUAGAAGGCGCCUGUUAUUUUUACUUUUGUUAUUGGUAAGCCGAAUGGUCGUCCCUGCAGUUACCCACGCCGGAAGCCGGGGAACAGGUGAAUCUCUCCAAUGAAUACAUACAUAACUUUGGAAAGCCUACCCUGCAGCAGAAAUUGUAACAGGUGCUGGAUGUACAGUGAAAAGAUAACAUAUUUCCACAUUCUUGGGAGCUUACAGCACAUCAGGGGAAUUGGCUCACACAAUUAUGGAAGCCCAGAAGUCCCAACAUCAACAGUCAACAACAAUCUGGAGACCCGGGAGAGCCAAUGUCAUAAUUCAGUCUGAAUCCAAGUAUGAAGGCAAGAGAAGACCAAUGUCCUAGGUCAAAGGCAAUCAGGGCAUAGUACAACUGGCCAGACUUGAGCUUUCCUAUUUGUGGCUGAGUCUCUGAUACGCCUCCCUGAGAUUUCACUCCAAUUACUUUGAUCCCAUGAAGAGUCACGCAUUUCCAGUUAAUAUACGAGCAGCAAACCUUGUCUAUUAUGUAUAGAUGUAUGUGCUUACCCCGAUAGGAUAAUUCUUUUUCUUGGGUUUUACGGUUGUUCUGUUGUUCUUAUUUGUGAAGUCAGUGCUGUGUGAGCAGCAUAAACCAGAUGUAGAAACUCAAGGGAGGAAAAGUCAUUAAUGGCUAACACGAUCAGGUGACCUGUCUGUGGACGACUAGUAGCUUAAUCAGAACUGAUUUGACCUGAAACCUCUAUCAGAGGAAUGCCCAAAGGAUUUUUUUUUAAUGAAGUUAUUUUACAGAAGGGACUGUAAGAAAGUUUACUCUGAAUUUCCAUAGUAAUGAAAAAUCUUUUUUGAAGUUAAUAAUCAUUUUUAUCAGAAAUCACAAUCUGUACGCUGGCAUCUACCAUGAAAAGGAUGCUAAGUACCCGUUUCUCCUUCAAUUCUUAAAAAAUUGAAGUUGAAGUUUAAAAAUGAAAAACCUGUAUUUUAAGACUUUCUAAAAUCUACCUUUUCUAAAAUCUAUCUUUUCUAAAAUCAUGGAGCCUGGGGGUUAAGUGUUGGUUGGUUAAGUGUCUGCCUUCAGCUCAGGUCAUGAUCCCAGGAUCCUGGGGUCUAGUGUCGUUGGACUCUCUGCUCAGUGGGGAGUCUGCUUUUCCCUCUCCCUCUGCCCCUCCUCCCUGCCUGUGCUCUCUCCUCCUCUUUCUCUCUGUCUGUCUCCCUCUCAAAUAAAUAAAUGAACCUUAAAAAUAAAAUAAAUCA